This 423-nucleotide ribosomal RNA is filed under the name Streptococcus minor. Its description in RNAcentral is "bacterial SSU rRNA". It matches the Rfam family "Bacterial small subunit ribosomal RNA", at positions 327 to 742 of the family's 1533-position model. The record is from RNAcentral. Lineage: Bacteria; Bacillati; Bacillota; Bacilli; Lactobacillales; Streptococcaceae.
CGGCCCAGACUCCUACGGGAGGCAGCAGUAGGGAAUCUUCGGCAAUGGGGGGAACCCUGACCGAGCAACGCCGCGUGAGUGAAGAAGGUUUUCGGAUCGUAAAGCUCUGUUGUAAGAGAAGAACGUUAGUAAGAGUGGAAAGUUUACUAAGUGACGGUAUCUUACCAGAAAGGGACGGCUAACUACGUGCCAGCAGCCGCGGUAAUACGUAGGUCCCAAGCGUUGUCCGGAUUUAUUGGGCGUAAAGCGAGCGCAGGCGGUUGUAUAAGUCAGAAGUAAAAGGCAGUGGCUCAACCAUUGUGUGCUUUUGAAACUGUACAACUUGAGUGCAGAAGGGGAGAGUGGAAUUCCAUGUGUAGCGGUGAAAUGCGUAGAUAUAUGGAGGAACACCGGUGGCGAAAGCGGCUCUCUGGUCUGUAACUG